GGCUGAGGAGAAAGUGGGAACCCCUCGGUGUCCCGGUGCCCCUUUCUCAGGGUGGCUUCUGGCGCGGCACGGGGCCUCGCUGCGCGUUUGCCGCCGCCCUCAGGGAGGCGUUUUCUCCAGCAGGAGCAGCCCCCCAGGCGGGACUCGAACCCCGACUGCCAUCGCGAGCCACCCCCGCGGCAGGCGUGGGCCUUCUCGUCAAGGCCCGGCCACCUCACUCUCGAGGCGGGAAGGAGCCGCACGACGGCCGCCUCCGGAUGCAACGGUCCCCGGGACGCGCUCCAUGGCCCCGCCUCCACCCCCCGCGCCAACUCGGAAAACGCUCGGGAAGAAUCCCGGGGGCCUCGGGGACCGGGACCAGGACCAGGCGCCGGACGCUGAUGGGAAGGAGGGGACACCCGGAGUUAGGGACAAAGUCACGAGGCCACUCGCAGAGCCCUCGCGCGCGUGUUCAUCGACUGCCCCCUGGGCGGUGACCUUAUUCAGCAAGACCUGAGCUCAGGGGCGGGGUGACAUCUAACUGGAGUCAUCAUGAUGGAGCCACGUGGUCCAACAGUGCCCGGUCCUUGUAACCAGGAGGGCCCGCAGUGUCACCACUUCCUCGAAGUGAGGCCACUGCCCUCAGCUUCUUGGAGACAGCAGAUAUGAGCAGAAACCCCCAAAAGUCAGGAGCAAAUUUGUUUCAGAAUCUCUCCAAAUCUGUGGCUUAAAACAAGUUCAGAGGGAUUUUGGUGCACAGCUACAGACUGAGCUGGUUUACUGCACAUUUAUAAAUGGAAAUCUUUAUUUCUUUUCCUCUCUAUGUUUUUAAGAAAUCCUGUUGCAAGGUCAUUAAUCACGUUAUCCAUUAUACCACAAACAAAUGGAUUUGUCACUUGUGCGCAGAAGCCGAGG
RNAcentral lists this long non-coding RNA (894 nucleotides) under Homo sapiens (human). Its description in RNAcentral is "HSALNT0126132". Lineage: Eukaryota; Metazoa; Chordata; Mammalia; Primates; Hominidae. The record is from RNAcentral.